Molecule: non-coding RNA, 26 nt
Filed under: Cricetulus griseus (Chinese hamster)
Lineage: Eukaryota; Metazoa; Chordata; Mammalia; Rodentia; Cricetidae
Source: RNAcentral
UGAAAGUGUAAGCAAUACUAGCAGGC